Molecule: ribosomal RNA, 130 nt
Filed under: Listeria monocytogenes
Lineage: Bacteria; Bacillati; Bacillota; Bacilli; Caryophanales; Listeriaceae
Description: partial 23S ribosomal RNA
Rfam family: Bacterial large subunit ribosomal RNA
Source: RNAcentral
CUCAAGAUGAGAGUUCCCAUGUCUUCGGAAAGUAAGAUCCCUGAAAGAUGAUCAGGUAGAUAGGUUUGGAGUGGAAGUGUAGCGAUACAUGGAGCGGACAAAUACUAAUCGAUCGAGGACUUAACCAAAA